GCGAAAGUGCGUUCUCCGCAGUACAGUUUGCCAAUUGAAGACAGAGACGAAAAACUUCACAUCGUGUUUUGAAACUGUCAGAACAAAUAGGUUCUGGCGGAGUUCAGCCGUAUAUCUGGCAAAAACCUGCAAAGGGAAUUCUUUUAAGAACUUGACUAUUUCCUUCAAUAUCUUCCUUGAUAUCUUCAAGGCCAAAGGGGGAUACGGCUGUAAACUCAAGAAGAUUCCACAACAGGUUGACAAUAAUAAGUCUGACACCAAUGAAAGGCGAACUGCUGUUUCUUCAUGGCCUCCCACUCCUCCUCGGAGAGGAUCCCAUUGAUUUUUACAAUACGACAGAGAUGAUGAAGAAGGGUUGUCCAGCAUUUCAAUCGGCAUUUUGUGUCAGUGAUCCUUGAGGACUGUGAAUCCAUACUGUACUCACUAAACCUUAUUUUGGAAGGUAAACAUUGUAAUGGAUAACCUGGGAAAUCUUCCCAAAGCCAUGUGCAUCCUCUUUGGGCUCAUUUAUGCCCUGAAUUUAGAGUAUCCCCCAGUACUGAAGAACACUUUAGAUUUCAUCCAAAGGGUGCUUUUGUCACUUGGCCACAAGUCUCAAAACUCUUCUACUGCAGUUAUGUAACUGCCAUGACAGAGCAUUUUCAUUGUUCAUGAUUAACCACUUUAAGUUACAAAAAUGGUAGAGCACAACUGAAAAUGUAUUUUAUUUCCUGUUGGAAAACGUACUUAAAAGGACAGUUCACCCACAUAUUUAAAUUCUUAUAUAAUUUUCUCACCCUCAGACUAGGGGUGUGCGAUAUGCCGAUAUUAGAUCGCGAACGAUUAAAAUGACUGCACGAUCCACUUUUUCGGGAAAAUCAUUAAAUCGUCCUAUAUAGUAGUGUUCUAUAAAAUUCGUCAACAUACUUGCGAUAGAUUGCGCCAUGUUAACAAGCUUGUAUAUGUUGCUUGUGAAUUCAGUAAGAUUAAGUGACGCGGUCAGUGAAGAUGGAGGGAAACACGGAGGACUUGGUCCCUAAAAAAAAUUCUACAUCAGUAAUAUUGAAAUGGUUUGGGUUUUCCCCAACUGACACGGCCCAAACAACAGUUAUUUGCAAAUGUGGCAAUGAUAAGAUUCGAGCGUCGUAAGGCAACACAACGAACCUUUUUAACCACCUCAAAAUAAAGGGACUGAAAGAGUAUGCCGACAAUCAAAUUAUAAAGGGAUCCCAAGCGAGUAAAUCAGGUACAACCAAGCAUACGGAAACUAAAAGGCUUAAACAACGACUUUAGCGAAAGAACCAUUUGAGAAAAAAAAACACGUAUCAGUAUGACAGAAUGAACAAGCGCUGGAAAGAUGUCACUGACGCGGUCGCAUUUUACCUGGCCAAAGACAUGAUUCCCAUAAAGACUGUGGAAAAUGAGGGCUUUAAAAAACUGCUCAAAGUCGUGGAUCCACGUUACGAAAUACCCAGCCAAAAAUAUUUAUCCUCCACGCCCAUUCCACAGCUUUACUUCGAGUUCCGCAACAAGAUGAAAAACAAAUUUCAAAAUGUAAAGUUUUUUGCUAACAGCUGAUUUAUGGUCUUGCACUUUCAUUAAAUAUUAACUUGAUUAAAAUAUUCUUCAAAAUAUAAAUGGUAAAGAGUAUAUUUUUAUAUGGGGACUUAGUUUGGCUGUAUUGAAGCCCCUUUAAUUUGAAAAAUAGUCUUAAAACCAACUUGAAGAAGAACCGCGAUAAAAUCGUGAAUCGUGAUCUAUCUGGAAAAAAUCGUGAUUUGAAUUUUUUUUCUAGAUCGCCCACCCCUACCUCAGACUGUUCCAAACCUAGGUAAAUUAAUUUGUUCUGCUAAACACAAAAUAAUAUAUUUGGAAGAUUGUCAGAAACUGAGCAGAUCUCAUCCCGACUCCUAUAGUGUUUAUUAUUUCCCUACUAUGACAGUAAAUGGGGGAUGCGAUUUGUUUUGUAAUUGACAUUCUUCCAAAUACCUUUCUCUGUGUUCAUCAGAACAAAGAAAUUAAUACAGGUUUGGAACAAUCUGAGGGUGAGUAAAUGAUGACAGAAUUUGCAUUGGUAAGUGAGCUUUCACUUUAAUGUUAAUGUUAAACAUGCUUAAUGUUUAGUGGUUGGUUUUAGUAACAUUUUAGAUGUUUUUUGAUGUUUGAUAAAGAGAACAAAAAAUGUGUUCUUUACUAAAAUACUUAGUCUUCAAUGUGCCUCAGUACUUCAUUUUACCUCUGUGAAAAGGGGACAGCGAUAUUUUUCUUUCUAAAGUGUACUGGAAAAUGUACUUUGUUUCUUGUUUCGAACUUGACAGUUUGAUUAAUGUGAAGUGUUUUUUUUAAAUAAGACAAGAUAUAUUUUUGUUAGACAAGACAAGAAAAUAAACUGUACUUAAUUAGUUUACAGAGUAGUCUACUUUGUUUCCAAAUUUGCAUUAUACCUCUUUAUAAAAAAGUUACAUUUGUGAAAAGGGUAGACUGUUCUAUUUUGCAAUGGAGUACAGUAUGUGCAUUUUUGGUAAAAUCAUGUCAAGUC
Long non-coding RNA from Triplophysa dalaica, 2518 nucleotides. RefSeq lists it as uncharacterized. The transcript is spliced from 4 exons. The record is from RefSeq and is a predicted model, not a curated record. NCBI's taxonomy places the organism in Eukaryota, Metazoa, Chordata, Actinopteri, Cypriniformes, Nemacheilidae.